Molecule: transfer RNA, 73 nt
Filed under: Bos taurus (domestic cattle)
Lineage: Eukaryota; Metazoa; Chordata; Mammalia; Artiodactyla; Bovidae
Also listed under: 1 other name
Rfam family: tRNA
About the family: Transfer RNA (tRNA) molecules are approximately 80 nucleotides in length. Their secondary structure includes four short double-helical elements and three loops (D, anti-codon, and T loops).
Source: Rfam by way of RNAcentral
UCCGUAGUGGUCCAGUGGUUAGGACUCUGCACUUCCACUGCAGGGGUCCCGGGUUCAAUUCCUGGUCAGGGAU